UGCAAAAUGAUGAUCAAUAACUUUCGCCCCUAGCAGAACCAUAAUUGGAAACUUCCCAUGUUGAAUGCCAUGAUUGGUCUCACUGAUAUUGCAGCUA
Molecule: small nucleolar RNA, 97 nt
Organism: Scaptodrosophila lebanonensis
Lineage: Eukaryota; Metazoa; Arthropoda; Insecta; Diptera; Drosophilidae
Product: small nucleolar RNA Me28S-Gm1083
Exons: 1
Source: RefSeq, a predicted model, not a curated record